CCUACGGGGGGCAGCAGUGGGGAAUAUUGGACAAUGGGGGGAACCCUGAUCCAGCCAUGCCGCGUGUGUGAAGAAGGCCCUCGGGUUGUAAAGCACUUUCAGUGAGGAAGAACGCCUGGUGGUUAAUACCCAUCAGGAAAGACAUCACUCACAGAAGAAGCACCGGCUAACUCCGUGCCAGCAGCCGCGGUAAUACGGAGGGUGCGAGCGUUAAUCGGAAUUACUGGGCGUAAAGCGCGCGUAGGUGGCUUGAUAAGCCGGUUGUGAAAGCCCCGGGCUCAACCUGGGAACGGCAUCCGGAACUGUCAAGCUAGAGUGCAGGCGAGGAAGGUAGAAUUCCCGGUGUAGCGGUGAAAUGCGUAGAGAUCGGGAGGAAUAGCAGUGGCGAAGGCGGCCUUCUGGACUGACACUGACACUGAGGUGCGAAAGCGUGGGUAGCAAACAGGAUUAGAUACCCGAGUAGUC
This 465-nucleotide ribosomal RNA is filed under the name Vreelandella stevensii. RNAcentral describes it as "partial 16S ribosomal RNA". It matches the Rfam family "Bacterial small subunit ribosomal RNA", at positions 338 to 795 of the family's 1533-position model. Lineage: Bacteria; Pseudomonadati; Pseudomonadota; Gammaproteobacteria; Oceanospirillales; Halomonadaceae. The record is from RNAcentral.